Molecule: long non-coding RNA, 1519 nt
Organism: Gadus macrocephalus (Pacific cod)
Lineage: Eukaryota; Metazoa; Chordata; Actinopteri; Gadiformes; Gadidae
Exons: 2
Source: RefSeq, a predicted model, not a curated record
AAAACGUUAGUUUAUUGUAGGGCUGGGCGAUUUUUUCGGUUUAAUCGAUUAAUUUGCAUUUUUUCUUUCCUACGGUUUGUGAAAUGGCUGAACCGAAAAAUCGCGAUUUAAAAACAGUUCUAGACUCUUCCGAUUUGUUUUGCUGAAUAGACUCUGUAGUAGCCUCCUCUCUCACUUUCCAGAACGCGCGCAAAACUCAGCCUACUGCAAUCACAUUCACCUCGCCCCCGACAGACUUGGGGGAGAGCCGGGUCGAUUGAAACACUUUUCAGUUAAACGUCUUUUGCAAAGAUGACGUUAUGUAUACAAAUAAUUUGUGAUCAACAACUCACAUGUGUGUUCUCUUAGUUACAAGCAGUGGUGUAGUCUACGUGAUACGCAGGUAUACGCCGUAUACCCACUAGGAACGCACCAGGAUUUGCGUAUACCCACUUAAAAAUGUGCACGGAUACGUAUCAAUCGUCUUGUGACAGAUCUUUCACUUCUGUGUUUAUUUUUCGGAAAUAUCGGUUGGUAUAAUAACUGCAAUAAAAUACUUUAAGCAGGGGAAGUUAUCUCCUACAUUCACCAUUCAUAAAAUUCCCGCUGUGCGCUCGCGCUCUGCCGUCUCUGUUACGAAGCGCGAAGCUGCCCCUGCAUCUCUGCACGUUAGUUGGCGGGCCGAGCCCCUCCUUCUCGCGUGUGUGUGUGCGUGCGUGCGUGCGUGCGUGCGUGCGUGCGUGCGUGUGUGUGUGUUCCUCCCAUAUUAAUGUGUAAACCACAUAAUAAGUAGUCAACAGAAGACAAUGUUUUAAUCCCACUUUAUAUCUCCUCGUUACUUUUAGAUGAGAACCCCUGGCCAGCCUUUCAGACUGGGUGUCAGGCUAGGGAAUUUAAAAACAGGCAUCCUUGGUUAGAGUGGAGGGAAAAAAAGUUAUAGGUAAAUGUCAGCCAACAUACAGUUGGUAUACACAAUUGAAAUUCAUAAUGUUAAUCACUAUGCAAAUGAGAGUAUAGCUAAUUCAUGGUAAUUUUUAAGGUGCAGUAAUUUCACACUUUUACACAAUUAAAUUACUGUAUGGUAUGUUAGAUAACAACAGUAAGAGCUCAAAUUAGAGCAAUUGAAAGAGUGAAACAUUAGUCUCCUGUCAUCUCCUUCUCAUGCACUGGUUAGCCAUGGAUGUAAACAGUUCAUUCAAUUAUUCUGAGUAGAUUUUGUCCUUGUUUAGCAUGUGCUAUUGCUACUAUAGAUAUACAAAGGACAACUUGUCAUUUUUGUGUUCUAUUUGUUCAUACUGUUAUUAAAACUGAUAAACCUACUCAGCUUUCCAUGAUUGUUGAUAAUCGUUAUACUCUUAAAUCAGCGGGUUGUAGACCCCUGCGUUGGUGAGUGUGGUGCGACACCCCAUAAGCGCCACACACGUACAUGGGUUUCAAUGGAAUUUGUUUAGAGAAAAACAGAAAAAAAAAAUCGAGGUUUAAAUCGAAAAUCGUCCAUUAGUUAGAAAAAAUCGAGAUUUUAUUUUUAGGCCAAAUCGCC